AAUUUGUUGUUGUUGUUGUUGUUAAGUUAUUUUAGUCGUGUUCGAUUUUGUGCGAUUUUAUAGACGGUAGUUUAUUAGGUUUUUUCGUUUUUGGGAUUUUUUAGGUAAGAAUAUUGGAGUGGGUUGUUAUUUUUUUUUUUAAUGUAUGAAAGUGAAAAGUGAAAGUGAAGUCGCUCAGUCGUGUCUGACUCUUUGCGACCCCAUGGACUGCAGCACGCCAGGCUUCCCUGUCCAUCACCAACUCCCGG
Molecule: unclassified non-coding RNA, 248 nt
Filed under: Hevea brasiliensis (rubber tree)
Lineage: Eukaryota; Viridiplantae; Streptophyta; Magnoliopsida; Malpighiales; Euphorbiaceae
Source: RNAcentral